Anas platyrhynchos (mallard) is the source of this 1684-nucleotide long non-coding RNA. RefSeq lists it as uncharacterized. The record is from RefSeq and is a predicted model, not a curated record. NCBI's taxonomy places the organism in Eukaryota, Metazoa, Chordata, Aves, Anseriformes, Anatidae.
GAACAGCUAUGAACAAAUGAAUGGAUCAGCUACAGGUGUAAAUGUUUCUCCUUGAGGUGGUUAGGAGAAUAUGAAUGUCUCCCUGAGUAUAGGGGCAGUAAAUAUGUGGCUCAGCCCAACAAACAGUAUAAAAACUAAAUGAAAAAAAAGCAUUCUGUGUAGGGCAGUGUAACAGCAGGCUUCAGUUCUAGGGAUGUAUUGUUGAUGAUUGGAAUGACUGGCAUCAUGAUGAAGGCUGUCAAGUAUUUUAUACCAGGUCCAUGUGAGGGAGCACUGACUAAGACCAUUACAUGCUCUUUUCUGGUUUCUGCUAUCUUUCUUCAGCCCAAAGGACUAUUAAAAUUAUCCAUUAGUGAAACAGCAAUAUCCUCUGUGAUCUACUACAUAUCAGAAGAAAUGGGUGGCUGUGAUUAUAGUAGAAACAUUACAUGAAAAAAAUGCCAAAAAUAUGUUAAUGUGCUAAUUCUGAAUUAUAUUCCAGAAUUCUUUGAAGAUAAAUGUAUAUAUUUUUUUUUGUGUGUGUGUAAGACUUUUGUCUAGACUAUAAAAAGAGGCAUUAAAAAGUUGUAAGUAUAUUUUAAUUGAGAGCUGUUUUUAAAAGUGUUAGCAUCUAAAUACUGAAACCUUCAAAAGCAAUUUCAGUGCCUACCAAAACAGAUUCUAAUGUUUAUAUUGAUUGUAUUGGGAUGAGAGGGGAUGCUUGCAAAAGGAGAUUUAAUAGAUCUAAGAACAAUAAAGUGAAGUUUCAACAUGAACAGGCAAACCAAAAGCAAUGCUAUUUCAACCAGUUUUUCAACAAGUGUAAAUAUAUUUACACUUGUAAAUGUAAAUGUUGUAACAUUUACAUUUUAACUUGUAACUUUACAUUGUAACUUGUAAAUGUUUAUUCAACCCUUUUGCUGUUCUAUCACAUUUUCUUUAUUUAAAAUUGUUUACACCAUAUGAAUACAUAUUACACCAUAUGAAUAGUUUUUAUCUGCUGAUUUUGGAUUAAUCAUUUACUGAGACCAUUGGAAAGCAGAGUUUGUCAAUACUAACAAUAGUAUUUUUAUUCCCUGAAUAGAUAAUUGUGAAUUUUAGAAUCAUGCUUUAAAUACAUAUUCCUCAGUAUUUUUUCCAGUCUGGAUGAAGCAGGUAGGGAUAGACGUAAUAUAGAGAUGAACAAAUAAUGAUCAUUGUGUUGUACCAAAGUAGCACUGUCACUGUGGAGUAAUUUUAAGGAGUUAUUUACCUUAAACAGUCAUGUAAAGGAGGAAAUGAGGAGAUAAAUCACUUAAUUGAGUUUUGUGAAUUAUUGUGAACACAGUAGAGUUUAGACUUCAUGCAUGAAGAUAUAUUCACGCAUGAAAUAUAUCCACAUAGUGUUGUUAUAAACACAAAGUAAAAUAUAUUAUGGUUCCUCAGGUUUAAAUAAAGGCUACGUUGGCAUGAAGCAAAUAGAAUAGAAUCUUAUAGCAAAAGUAUUUUUAUUAUUAUUUAUUUAUUUAUUUUUGAAUAAGUGAGAUUUAGUGGCUGUAAAAUAUUAUUUGUAUUUGAAAGGAUGCAUAGGUGUGUUUCCUUAUACUAAAGAUGAGCUGGACUAUGUGCUUUUCCUGAAUUUAUGGAAUAAACUACAAUUUUGCUGUAGUCCUCAACUGGCUUAUAUUAAAAUAAAUAUUAAUAGAAUAAACCUUCUGUGCACAUC